This 498-nucleotide ribosomal RNA is filed under the name uncultured bacterium. Its description in RNAcentral is "partial 16S ribosomal RNA". It matches the Rfam family "Bacterial small subunit ribosomal RNA", at positions 30 to 523 of the family's 1533-position model. The record is from RNAcentral.
AUUGAACGCUGGCGGCAUGCCUUACACAUGCAAGUCGAACGGUAACAGGUCUUCGGAUGCUGACGAGUGGCGAACGGGUGAGUAAUACAUCGGAACGUGCCUAGUAGUGGGGGAUAACUACUCGAAAGAGUGGCUAAUACCGCAUGAGAUCUACGGAUGAAAGCAGGGGAUCGCAAGACCUUGUGCUACUAGAGCGGCCGAUGGCCGAUUAGGUAGUUGGUGGGAUAAAAGCUUACCAAGCCGACGAUCUGUAGCUGGUUUGAGAGGACGAUCAGCCACACUGGGACUGGGACACGGCCCAGACUCCUACGGGAGGCAGCAGUGGGGAAUUUUGGACAAUGGGCGCAAGCUUGAUCCAGCAAUGCCGCGUGCAGGAUGAAGGCCUUCGGGUUGUAAACUGCUUUUGUACGGAACGAAAAGCCCCGGGUUAAUACCCUGGGGUCAUGACGGUACCGUAAGAAUAAGCACCGGCUAACUACGUGCCAGCCGCCGCCGCGG